GAUGAACGCUGGCGGCGUGCCUAAUACAUGCCAGUCGAGCGAACGGACGAGAAGCUUGCUUCUCUGAUGUUAGCGGCAGACGGGUGAGUAACACGUGGAUAACCUACCUAUAAGACUGGGAUAACUUCGGGAAACCGGAGCUAAUACCGGAUAAUAUUUUGAACCGCAUGGUUCAAAAGUGAAAGACGGUCUUGCUGUCACUUAUAGAUGGAUCCGCGCUGCAUUAGCUAGUUGGUAAGGUAACGGCUUACCAAGGCAACGAUGCAUAGCCGACCUGAGAGGGUGAUCGGCCACACUGGAACUGAGACACGGUCCCGACUCCUACGGGAGGCAGCAGUAGGGAAUCUUCCGCAAUGGGCGAAAGCCUGACGGAGCAACGCCGCGUGAGUGAUGAAGGUCUUCGGAUCGUAAAACUCUGUUAUUAGGGAAGAACAUAUGUGUAAGUAACUGUGCACAUCUUGACGGUACCUAAUCAGAAAGCCACGGCUAACUACGUG
RNAcentral lists this ribosomal RNA (497 nucleotides) under uncultured bacterium. RNAcentral describes it as "partial 16S ribosomal RNA". It matches the Rfam family "Bacterial small subunit ribosomal RNA", at positions 28 to 507 of the family's 1533-position model. The record is from RNAcentral.